AGAGCAGAUUUGGAUUUUAAUUUUUUUUCGGAUUUGGAGCGGAUAUAGAUAUUUAUUUCUUUUUUGGAUCUGGAUAUGGAGCGAAAAAUAUGGAUUCAUAACGGAUCUGGAGCAGAUACGGAUCUUGAUUUUUAUUAUGGAUUUAGAUCUGGAGCAGAGUAGAUCCAACCCAUAUCUGCCCCAUUGCCAUCCCUAUGUAUAUGUAAUUAGUCCAACUCAUGGUGCAUUAUUCAUAUAUAUAUUUCAAUAUUUGGGCUCCUAUAAACUCAAAAACAGUUACUCAUAAUUGUCUUAAAGCUCAUUUACCUUUAUAUGAAACAAGCCAAGACUGCCUUUCUCUUCAUUAUCGUUGAUGACAACAUCUUUAGAAGCAGAAAAUUGACAGGUAGUUAUCAUGGAAUCCCUUAAAGAGAGGUCUAUAAACUCAAUGAUAUUAUCUUCUACAAAUGGUUCAUUAGACUUCUUAGUUAUAUUGUCAAUGUACACUAAGGACAACGAGAAGCCCUGCAAAUGUAGCAUAUUGAUAAGUGAGUUCCCAGGACUUGAACGAGAAAAAUUAAAUAAUGUCUCCCUGGCUAUGCCAGCUCGUACGUUAGGGUUAAGAUUAGAGAUUGGGAUACUAUAACUAUCAGCAGUUAUUGACUGCAAAUUAAAAUGUUCGUUCAAGCAUGUUGGGUGAAUCCUCUAAUUAACUUGGAAUGGACUCGAUAGGGAGUUAUGAAGGAUGAGGUACCUUGAUGCUAAUUAAUGUCGUCCGAGAUCCCAGGAAAGUGCAAUGUCCUGCUUGAUGCUAAUGUGGUCAAUGCAACUGAAACCUUCUAUCUGACGUCACCUUAAAUGCAACAUAAUCACCUCAAAUUGGGCUCUGAGUGUUUCUCACAUGCUGUUUUGAGAGAUCUGAAUUCUAUGCACCAUAACAUGAUCAAUGAAAUGGAUUGUAGGACUGGAAAGGUCUGUGGCGGCCACGUUUGGUGUGUUUUUAUUAUCUUAAUUUGUAGGCAAUCCCUGCUUCCUCAAGGUUUGAAACGUAGAUGUUCUUAUACAUUGUCACAUUAUGUGUGGCUGGUAAUCUUGUUUUGAUCAAUAGGAUACAACAUUACACAUAUAUCAUCAUUCAUCCAAAACUUUCUAGCAAAAGUUUGUCAUUGAAAGUUCAUGGCACUACAACAGAAACGAUUUUUAACCGCAGAAAAAAUCUGCCGUCAAAUAGUUAAGAUGGUAUUAAUGGAUGCACUAUUGAGGUCCUGUUUGAGAUUGAGA
RNAcentral lists this long non-coding RNA (1260 nucleotides) under Citrus x clementina. Its description in RNAcentral is "Citrus clementina (C. clementina) long non-coding RNA (CCLE_LNC002885)". Lineage: Eukaryota; Viridiplantae; Streptophyta; Magnoliopsida; Sapindales; Rutaceae. The record is from RNAcentral.